CAAUAGCGUAUAUUAAAGUUGUUGCGGUUAAAAAGCUCGUAGUUGGAUUUCUGCCGAGGACGACCGGUCCGCCCUCUGGGUGAGUAUCUGGCUUGGCCUGGGCAUCUUCUUGGAGAACGUAGCUGCACUUGACUGUGUGGUGCGGUAUCCAGGACUUUUACUUUGAGGAAAUUAGAGUGUUUCAAGCAGGCAUACGCCUUGAAUACAUUAGCAUGGAAUAAUAAGAUAGGACCUCGGUUCUAUUUUGUUGGUUUCUAGAGCUGAGGUAAUGGUUAAUAGGGAUAAUUGGGGGCACUCGUAUCAUGACGUCAGAGGUGGAAUUCUUGGAUUGUCAUGCGACGAACUACUGCGAAAGCAUUUGCCAAGGAUGUUUUCAUUGAUCAAGAACGAAAGUAAGGGGAUCGAAGAUGAUCAGAUACCGU
This 422-nucleotide ribosomal RNA is filed under the name uncultured eukaryote. Its description in RNAcentral is "SSU rRNA". It matches the Rfam family "Eukaryotic small subunit ribosomal RNA", at positions 592 to 1018 of the family's 1831-position model. The record is from RNAcentral.